GUUUAAUUGAUCUUCUUCCAUAUUAUUGGGAGUGAAAAGUUCUUGAAUAUCGAGUUCUUAAAAACUCUCUGUUCACAGAAAUUCUAAAAACUGCUUUCUGCAUUCCAAUCCUCAACUUGUUUUACACACAACAAACUUUGCACAAAGUUUAUAAGAAUUUGAACAUCUCUUGGUACAAAAAGAAAAUUAAAGUUGAUAGAGAAAGGCCUCUCCAGUCACCAUCAGAAAGAAAUUCCUACUAGUCUGUCAAAAAGAAUUUUCAAUUGGUUCAUCCUUAUUCUCUUUUACCACUGUUCUCUUUUUUUUUUUUCAGCUGCCAAUUUUGAUGCCACAAAUGACAUCAUCUUGCUAUUAUGCAAAGUAAUAAUCCAUUUACAGAGUUUGUGUGGACAAAUGCAGAUGGUCUUGUGUCAUUGAUAUCUGAGGGGCACCAUAAAAUGAGCUUUUGGAGUUCUUCCAGCCAUGAUAAUCCCUGCACAUGUAAUUCCAACCUGUAAAAUCAACAAAAAAAGGAAAAUAUUUCAUAAAUGGAGACAAUGAUUACAAUAACAGUAUAUUUCUAAUUUAAGAAAAAAGGGGUGAUAGUUCUCAGUUGCUUCAUUCCUAAUCAAGGAUAUUCAAAUGAUAAUACAAACAUGAAAGAAUAAUCUCAUGCAUCUUUUAAUAGGAUGGUUCGCAUGUCAUAAGAUAUCCUUAAUCAUCUUUAAGAUGAAAAAAAUGUAGUGUAAUUCUAGCAACAUAUAUAAUAUUACAGGACAGAGAAUAAGGUAAGAUAACAUACCUAUGCUAAUCUGAAUCCAAUCCAUCCUGAGCCGCAUGCAAGCUUCUGACAUCAGAAUCACCAUAUUUGGAUGCCAAAAAACUGUAAGACACCGCAACUGCAACAAGGACACCAAAAACCAAGGCAAAUAGCUGAAAGUUAGCAAGCAGCUCGCCUCGAACCUGACUACCCACUGAUGGACAAGUGAUCUGAUCAUUCUUAAGUUGACAGCCAUCUGGAAUCAUGGGACCAUACAAGGUGAAGGCAGUCUGAUAGAACCAGAGGCCUUGAAGAGUUAUGGCAAUGCCAUUAGACAAAUCAACAGGAAAGCUGGUUGGGAGGAGAGCUCCAGCCACGGUAGAUAAAACACAGAGUCCUAUUAGGAGGACAAGGAGGAGAUGAUAGUAUCCUUCAAGGCCCUUAUGGGUUGUUGAGUGAAAGUAAAACAGUAGAUACUCUGCACAAAAUGCUGUGGCAGCAACCAGACAAAGAGCUCCUUCUGGCAAGGGUAGAAAUCUGACCUCGGAGUUACCCAGAAGGUUUGGGAAAUUAGUUGUAAUACAACAAAAUAACACUUUGAUGUUGCAUAAUGACUUAUAUUUACAAUAAAAGAAAAAAAAUUGUUGCAUGAUAGUGGUCUAGACUCUAGAUGCAUUUAGCAAUUAAUAAAUUGCUAUCAUGAACCAAAAACUUUAAUCAAUGUCAAUUUUGUUAUAUGUUCAUUUGCAACAAUCAAUAGCUUGAUGCUCAACAAGGCAAUGCCUCAAGCAACAAUACAAGCAACACCCAGAAGGGUUUGAUGUUUAAAGAUCUAAUCUUACUCAAGCCACAUGAUAGACACAAGACAUAAGGUCAAUCUUUUUGGACUGGAAACAAGUGAUUCUAAUGCAAUAUUUGGAGCCAAGAAAUGUCCUAACAAAUAAUUGAAGCCUACUAGCUAUGGUUAAUCAUUUAGUUUUCCCUGUUUUCCAUCAUAUCUUUUUUAACAAGCUGGAGCUAAAGUAUUUUAAGAAAAGGAUCAUGACAAUUUGCUGUCUUCAUGCUGCUAGUCCAAUUUAGAAAAUGUUGCACCAGUAGAGUAAUUUUCCAAAGUAGCUUUAUGCUUUAAAGCACAAAGGAAUAAUCAACAAAGUUGAACAUGUUGCUUUUCUAGUAAAGAUCUCAUGAAUUUUGUAAAUUUUGAAGUUUUCUUUUAAAUUGAUAUCAUGAACAACCUCUAAGGUCUCUGAGAUAAGUAUGAGACAAUAACCAUUUCAAGUUAUAUGCUCUCAAACACUUUUUAUCAGAGGUGCUGAAUAAGGCCAGCUGAAGACUGAAGUGCACAGUGAGCUGACAAUAACCAUUUCAAGUUCUAUGCUCUCAAACGCUUUUUAUCAGAGGUGCUGAAUAAGGCCAGCUGAAGACUGAAGUGCACAGUGAGCUGACAAUAACCAUUUCAAGUUCUAUGCUCUCAAACG
Molecule: unclassified non-coding RNA, 2217 nt
Filed under: Hevea brasiliensis (rubber tree)
Lineage: Eukaryota; Viridiplantae; Streptophyta; Magnoliopsida; Malpighiales; Euphorbiaceae
Source: RNAcentral